UCCUACGGGAGGCAGCAGUGGGGAAUAUUGCACAAUGGGCGAAAGCCUGAUGCAGCAACGCCGCGUGAGUGAUGAAGGCCUUCGGGUCGUAAAACUCUGUCCUCAAGGAAGAUAAUGACGGUACUUGAGGAGGAAGCCCCGGCUAACUACGUGCCAGCAGCCGCGGUAAUACGUAGGGGGCUAGCGUUAUCCGGAUUUACUGGGCGUAAAGGGUGCGUAGGCGGUCUUUCAAGUCAGGAGUGAAAGGCUACGGCUCAACCGUAGUAAGCUCUUGAAACUGGGAGACUUGAGUGCAGGAGAGGAGAGUGGAAUUCCUAGUGUAGCGGGGAAAUGGGUAGAUAUUAGGAGGAACACCAGUUGCGAGGGCGGCUCUCUGGACUGUAACGGACGCUGAGGCACGAAAGCGGGGGGAGCAAACAGGAGUAGAUACCCUGGUAGUCCACGCUGUAAACGAUGAGUACUAGGUGUCGGGGGUUACCCCC
This 482-nucleotide ribosomal RNA is filed under the name Clostridioides difficile. Its description in RNAcentral is "bacterial SSU rRNA". It matches the Rfam family "Bacterial small subunit ribosomal RNA", at positions 337 to 841 of the family's 1533-position model. The record is from RNAcentral. Lineage: Bacteria; Bacillati; Bacillota; Clostridia; Peptostreptococcales; Peptostreptococcaceae.